RNAcentral lists this non-coding RNA (148 nucleotides) under Gorilla gorilla gorilla (western lowland gorilla). The record is from Rfam by way of RNAcentral. Lineage: Eukaryota; Metazoa; Chordata; Mammalia; Primates; Hominidae.
GCUGGGCAUGGUGGUGCAUGCCUGUAAUCCCAACUACUUGGGAGGCUGAGGCAAGAGAAUCACUUGAACCCGGGAGGCAGAGUUUGCAGUGAGCCAAGAUGGUGCCACUGUACUCCAGCCUGGGCAACAGAGUGAGACUCUGUCUCAA